GACAGAGGGUGCAAACGUUUGUUCGGAAUUACUGGGCGUAAAGCGCGUGUAGGCGGCCAUCUAAGUCGGGCGUGAAAUCCCACGGCUCAACCGUGGAAGUGCACUCGAAACUGGAUGGCUAGAGUCCUGGAGAGGAAGGUGGAAUGCUUGGUGUAGAGGUGAAAUUCGUAGAUAUCAAGCGGAACACCGGUGGCGAAGGCGGCCUUCUGGACAGUGACUGACGCUGAGACG
This 231-nucleotide ribosomal RNA is filed under the name uncultured bacterium. Its description in RNAcentral is "partial 16S ribosomal RNA". It matches the Rfam family "Bacterial small subunit ribosomal RNA", at positions 524 to 753 of the family's 1533-position model. The record is from RNAcentral.